GAAACGCUCUUCUCGCGGUUAUAAACCGCGACACGAGGUGUGAUUUAUGAACGAAACGGUGGUAAAAUUGUUAUUAGAGCGGGGAUACACACGCGCGAGAAAAGGAAGAAGGAAUGAAAGGAAAGAGGUCUGUAAGUCUGUUACAGACAUCGUUAUUAGGACGAGUUGGAAGGAUACGAGGACUGGAUAUGGAAAUAAAAAGAAGAGGGGGCCUGGAUUCCAGCCUGGUAUCUACCUUUGGAGAAGGGUGAGGGAAGAGUAUUCCCGGCCAGGAUUCUCUUCUCCGUUGCCAAUCGUUAUCCGAGAUUUAUUGUUUCCCGAGGAUCGGCGGGUCACGGAAUCGGGUUCAUUCUCCUGCUCGCCCUCGCGAGAGUUCCCCAUUCAAGCGGGGCUGCUUUGCAUAAAUUUCCGUGCAGAUGCGACGCGAUAUCACAUCGGCGUCGUGAUAGAAAUAGAAUGUAUAUAUAUAUAUAGAAUAUACGCGAGUACAAGAGUAAGAAUCGAUAUUAGAGGGAUUGAUAUUUCUUUUUGUUCGAAUGAUUUCUGAAAAAAUUGUUUUAAAACGAUGGAAAAAAACAUUUGGAUGAUUUUUGAUCGGAAUAAUCUUCAAAUGGAUCAUUGAAUUAAAAUUUAGAAAA
Long non-coding RNA from Apis florea (little honeybee), 638 nucleotides. NCBI's taxonomy places the organism in Eukaryota, Metazoa, Arthropoda, Insecta, Hymenoptera, Apidae. The record is from RefSeq and is a predicted model, not a curated record.